This 215-nucleotide ribosomal RNA is filed under the name uncultured bacterium. RNAcentral's name for it is "partial 16S ribosomal RNA". It matches the Rfam family "Bacterial small subunit ribosomal RNA", at positions 278 to 484 of the family's 1533-position model. The record is from RNAcentral.
AGUCAGUAGCUGGUCUGAGAGGACGACCAGCCACACUGGGACUGAGACACGGCCCAGACUCCUACGGGAGGCAGCAGUGGGGAAUUUUUCGCAAUGGGGGCAACCCUGACGUAAGCAAUGGCCGCGUGGAUGAAGAAGGCCUUCGGGUUGUAAAGUCCUUUCGUGGGGACGAAAAGGUGGUUCCUAAUACGAGCUGCUGUUGACGUGAACCCAAG